Molecule: transfer RNA, 64 nt
Filed under: Curculionidae sp. MT-2014
Lineage: Eukaryota; Metazoa; Arthropoda; Insecta; Coleoptera; Curculionidae
Description: tRNA-Phe
Source: RNAcentral
ACUUGAAUAGCUUAUACAGAGCAUAGCACUGAAGAUGCUAAGGAAAUUAAAUAAUUUUUAAGUA